Molecule: ribosomal RNA, 491 nt
Filed under: uncultured bacterium
Lineage: Bacteria
Description: partial 16S ribosomal RNA
Rfam family: Bacterial small subunit ribosomal RNA
Source: RNAcentral
UGGGGAAUAUUGCACAAUGGGCGCAAGCCUGAUGCAGCCAUGCCGCGUGUGUGAAGAAGGCCUUCGGGUUGUAAAGCACUUUCAGCGAGGAGGAAGGUGGUGAGCUUAAUACGCUCAUCAAUUGACGUUACUCGCAGAAGAAGCACCGGCUAACUCCGUGCCAGCAGCCGCGGUAAUACGGAGGGUGCAAGCGUUAAUCGGAAUUACUGGGCGUAAAGCGCACGCAGGCGGUUUGUUAAGUCAGAUGUGAAAUCCCCGGGCUCAACCUGGGAACUGCAUUUGAAACUGGCAAGCUAGAGUCUCGUAGAGGGGGUAGAAUUCCAGGUGUAGCGGUGAAAUGCGUAGAGAUCUGGAGGAAUACCGGUGGCGAAGGCGGCCCCCUGGANGAAGACUGACGCUCAGGUGCGAAAGCGUGGGGAGCAAGCAGAUUAGAUACCCUGGUAGUCACGCCCUAAACGUGUCAACUAGCUGUUGGGGUCUUCGGACCUUGG